This 253-nucleotide ribosomal RNA is filed under the name uncultured prokaryote. Its description in RNAcentral is "partial 16S ribosomal RNA". It matches the Rfam family "Bacterial small subunit ribosomal RNA", at positions 524 to 776 of the family's 1533-position model. The record is from RNAcentral.
CACGUAGGGCGCAAGCGUUGUCCGGAAUUAUUGGGCGUAAAGAGCUCGUAGGCGGACUGUCACGUCUGCUGUGAAAAGCUGGGGCUUAACCCUGGCCUUGCAGUGGAUACGGGCAGACUAGAGGUAGGUAGGGGAGAAUGGAAUUCCCGGUGUAGCGGUGAAAUGCGCAGAUAUCAGGAGGAACACCGGUGGUGUAGACGGCUUUCUGGACCGUAACUGACGCUGAGACACGAAAGCGUGGGUAGCAAACAGG